ACUCUCAAGGAAGUUUAGGAUAUUUCACAGUUCUGAAUGUUAGCAACUGAAAAUGCUGGUAGACGAUGAAGCAUCUGAAGAUGACCCGGAUUCAGUUUCCUCAAACAGUGAAAGAGCCUAUAUUUUCAAAUAAGAGAGUAUAACAAUUUCUGUACACUAUGGAGGAUUUUGACUUGGUGAAAACCUUACAAAAAGCUUCAUCUGUAGAAUCUGAUAUCAAAAAUUCUCCCCAUUCUCUUGGAUUGAGCUUAAAUACUAAUAGAAGUAGUACAAAUGGGGUAUCCUCUUUCUCAGGGAAGACCAGACCCUCUGCCAUUCAAGGUACAGCUGAGUUCCUAAACUCCUUAACGCAAGAGCUACAGAACAGUGGAAAGACUGAUUCGGAACUUUGGAAAAACUGUGAGACUAGGUGGUUACAGCUGUUCAAUUUGGUGGAAAAACAAUGCCAAGAACAAAUAGUUGCUCAGCAAGAACAGUUCCACAACCAAAUUCAACGUAUACAGGAGGAGAUCAGAAAUUUAGUCAAAUUGCAGAUCAGUAAUGGUUCCUGGGCUUCUAGUGAUAAAAGUCCUUCAAGCAAACAAUUAUUUUCAGAAAGUCAGAUGGGUUUUUUUUCUGAAAAUAGUGAAAGAAAUGAAUCUGUUAUUAGUUAUCCUGAGCCUAAGGAGCCCGAGAUGCAACAAGAAAUGUCCACAUCACAGCCAGACUGCAAUGUGGACGGCAGCUCUGUGAGCAGUGGGUAUGGCACCUUUUGUAUCUCAGAAUUGAACACCUACAAAUCCAAGGACCCUGCAGAGCUCAUGGAGCACACAGGCCUUCCCAAGGGACAAUACCCAGCACCAGGAGUGCAGACAGAUUCGCCUGUAGAUGGCGCAGGAAAUGGCAGUUUUUAUGCACAAUCUCCCGAAGAGUUUUGUGAAUCUUUAAAGGAAGAUACUUCCAGUUUUCCUGAUGAAUUUGAACAUAAUUUUCUUGGUGAAAAUAAGAUUUCUGAAGUAUACAGUGGAAAAGCAGAUAGUAAAUCCAUAACAUCAUGGGCACAAAAGCUGAAGCAGAACCAAACCAAGAGAGCACAUAUAGAGGAUGGAUGUUCAAAAUCUAAGCAGGGGAGUGAGCAUAGCAAGAGACCUCCCAAUGAGAAGUCUGAUUUUGCUGCUCCUGCUGCUGCACACCCUCGUGCUUUUUACCUCUCUAAACCAGACGAAGAUCCAAGCUCGUGGAUGUCUGAUUCAGGAACAGGACUGACCUACUGGAAGCUGGAGGAGAAGGACAUGUAUCGCUGUCUGCCUCAAUCUUUAGAGAAGACAUUUGUACCCUGCACCUUGGCAGACGUGUCACCGAACCAGGUCCUUACUCUAGAUCCGACGUUGCAUAUGAAGCCAAAUCAGCAGAUUUCGGGGAUUCAACCACAUGGCUUUUUGAAUGCUCUUGAUGACAGAAUAUCCUUUUCACCAGACUCUGUUCUGGAACCAAGUGUAUCUAGUCACUCUGACAUCGACUCAUUUUCACAAGCAAGCAAUAUCACUUCUCAGUUAUCCGGAUUUCCAAAAUAUCCUUCAAAUGCAAAAGCCUCAUCAAUGGACUCUUGGAAGAAUCAUGCAUUCCAAAGUGAAAGUAGGACCAGUUCCACAUUUCCUUCAGUGUACACUAUGACGAGUAACAAUAUCUCAGUCAACACUGUAGAUGAAGAGAACACUGUCAUGGUAGCGUCGGCCUCAGUCAGUCAAGCCCAGCUUCCAGAUGCAGCCAACAGUGUCCCAGAAUGCAUUUCAUUGACUUCCCUGGAAGAUCCCGUGAUAUUGUCUAAGUAUGUAUUUCAGUGACAGCUUGUAAUGUUAACAGAUUUUCUGUGAUGUCUGAUUGAAUGAUGAGAAUGAUUUUUUUUAAUAUUGUUUUUUAGUUGUUUAUUUAUUAAAUAAAAUUUAAUAAAUUUUAUUUAUUUAU
This is a long non-coding RNA of Ictidomys tridecemlineatus (thirteen-lined ground squirrel), 1944 nucleotides long. The record is from Ensembl. NCBI's taxonomy places the organism in Eukaryota, Metazoa, Chordata, Mammalia, Rodentia, Sciuridae.